AUACGGAAGGUCCGGGCGUUAUCCGGAUUUAUUGGGUUUAAAGGGAGCGCAGGCGGAGAUGCAAGCGUGACGUCAAAUUUCGGGGCUCAACCCCGUCUCGCGUCGCGAACUGCGUCCCUUGGUUGCGGGAAGGGGAGGCGGCACUCGUGGUGUCGCGGUGAAAUGCAUAGAUAUCACGAAGAACUCCGAUCGCGAAGGCAGCCUUCCGGCCCGUCAACGACGCUCAUGCUCGAAGGUGCGGGCAUCAAACAGGAUUAGAUACCCUGGUAGUCCGCACAGUAAACGAUGGACACCCGCGGUUUGGCCUAUAUGGCUGAGCCGCCAAGCGAAAGCGUUAAGUGUCCCACCUGGGGAGUACGCCGGCAACGGUGAAACUCAAAUGAAUUGACGGGG
This 393-nucleotide ribosomal RNA is filed under the name uncultured bacterium. Its description in RNAcentral is "partial 16S ribosomal RNA". It matches the Rfam family "Bacterial small subunit ribosomal RNA", at positions 523 to 918 of the family's 1533-position model. The record is from RNAcentral.